Molecule: long non-coding RNA, 481 nt
Organism: Salvia splendens (bonfire salvia)
Lineage: Eukaryota; Viridiplantae; Streptophyta; Magnoliopsida; Lamiales; Lamiaceae
Exons: 2
Source: RefSeq, a predicted model, not a curated record
AUGGGGUCUAGUACUUGCUCACUUAUGAGCUGUUGUCUUUUAUUGCAGGUGCACCAGAUCUUUGGUGGCUUUUGUGGCUGACUCCCUUGACCAUAACAGAGAUACGAGCUGUUCAUUGAUGGGGUGUAGGCUGGCUGGAAUUGCUUCAUUAGUUCAAGCAAACUUUCCAACAUCCAAAAGGACCGAGAGGCUGGCUCCACCUGGUCCAUCCCCUAACCUCCCAGCCCGUCGGACCCCUCCUGAACUGGGCCAAGACGGCUCGCGCUAAGGGCCGAGGAAGUUCUCUAGGAACGCUCGGUUGUAGCAGUUCACUUUGAACUCUCCUUUGUUUCUUUUUUUUUCAACAUAUGUAUAAUUUACUAGUUCACAGAUCUCAUUUCAUUUAUUCUCAUCGUCGAAGAUUGUAGUUUAUUAAUUUGAGAUUCUGGAAAUUGUAUUUGUACCCUUUUUCAAGAAAUAAAAGUACCCAUUCAUUCUUUAA